UCGUAGGUGGUAGGCGGCAAGUUGGGAGUGAAAUCUCUGGGCUUAACUCAGAGGCUGCUUUCAAAACUGCCGUGCUCGAGUGCGAGAGAGGCCAGUGGAAUUGCAGGUGUAGCGGUGAAAUGCGUAGAUAUCUGCAGGAACACCCGUGGCGAAGGCGGCUGGCUGGAUCGCAACUGACACUGAGGAACGAAAGCUAGGGGAGCAAACAGGAUUAGAUACCCUGGUAGUCCUAGCCCUAAACCAUCAGAACUUGGGGUGGCUCGCGUAGGCGGGUCGUCCCGUAGCUAACGCGUUAAGUUCUGCGCCUGGGGAGUACGGUCGCAAGACUGAA
Molecule: ribosomal RNA, 331 nt
Filed under: uncultured bacterium
Lineage: Bacteria
Description: bacterial SSU rRNA
Rfam family: Bacterial small subunit ribosomal RNA
Source: RNAcentral